Molecule: long non-coding RNA, 336 nt
Filed under: Salvia miltiorrhiza (redroot sage)
Lineage: Eukaryota; Viridiplantae; Streptophyta; Magnoliopsida; Lamiales; Lamiaceae
Description: long non-coding RNA (SMIL_LNC013423)
Source: RNAcentral
ACAAGUAUGUAAGAAGGCAAAGAAUUAAGCUAACAUUUGAUGUGUAAAUAGAAGCAAUGUUUUUUUUCUUAUUUUUAUUUUUAUUUUUAUUUUCUUAUUUUGUACUUAUAUUUUUUAGACGGGAUGCCAAAUAUUGAGUUUCAUUGUUCUAUAUGGCUAUAUCAAAAUUGACUCCAAUUAAUUUACUAAUAUACUCAUUCGUGUGAUGCACGACAGGAUAUCAAAAUUAAAUGAUAUAUUUAAAUAAAUAAAUAAUAUAAAUAUUAAACAAAAUCAAAAUAUAAACAAAUACAAAAUAUGUUUUAAAAAUAAAAUAUAUUAAUCCACACCAAUUAC